AAAGAAUGGAAGAUGUUCUAUUUUUCCUUAUGAUAUGUCUUAGCUACAACAAUCAACACAAACAUUAUUAUUCACAUGGUUAUUUAUGAAAAACAUAUAUUGUCAUUGGAAUUUUUCACCCGUUGCAGCACACGGGCAGUUUUGCUAGUCUGAUCUAAAAAGAAAGAGCCAUGCUCAGUGCCACCAACUGAUUAGUACAUGCUUGCUUACUGAUCACAAACAAUGGAAAAUCUCAUAAAAUAGCAGCACUGAAGUCACCAAAACUGAAAGAAAAACUGCAUCCACAGUAGUUCUCAUUGAGCAGGACAUCCGCUCCUCAUCCACGGUCAAGCGCCAUCCUUCGUUCUGCAAAAAUGAGUAAAAAAAUCAACAUUAUAUAGCAAAAAACUAAAUAUGACUCAAGUCAAUAGUACAUCUCAGUUCCGCAACCAGGAUCUCAAGCACAAAACAAUACUACCCUAGUUAGUUCCCUUCCUAUUCAAUCAUCAUUGGAGGCACUGAGUUCAGCUAAUCCAAUUAUAUGAAUUCAGGGUAAGAGCUGCCUACAUGUGCAUCAAAGGGAAGUGCUAUCAAUAAUAUGUUUAACACAAAUGUACCAUGUUUCACCCACGAUGACUCAAAAUGAUGUAAUUAAUUAAGCAUUGACUAAUCACAAGUUUGGAUAAGGUUAUGUUAUCCUUAUUGUAACAUUGUAUUGUAUAAUGAGCUUUGAAGGAGAAUUUUAUCUCCUGACCUAGUAGUAAUAAAUAAAUAAAUUAUGGCAAGAUUAAACCAAAAUAUACAUCCAUACAUGCCAAAAAGAAAAUCAAACUUUAAAGAUUCCUAGACUCGUAGCAUCUGAUCAGUGAUGAUCUUGAAAAAGAAUCUCCCAAGAAAUACAGGGAAGCAGCAGUAUAUUAUAUGUCCAUUUUAUAUAUUUUUGGUCAUGUUCUCCACACAAUUAAACAAUAUUAUAGGGAUUCUAAGCCAUUAGACUCAAUUAAAGGAAGUAUAAUUUCGUAAUACAUAGGGCACUGCAUUCUAAAGCAAAUAAAUAACAUUUUGUUCCAACCCAACCAAAUCUCCAGGAAGCAAACACACAAGCAUAUCUAAAAGGACACAUAUCCGGCGAUGUUUAUUAGUGAUUCCACUAAGAGCAUAAGCAUAUCAAAGUAAGCAACGUCGGACAUACCAUGAACACUGCACAAUUGGGUCUAAGUUACAGCAGAGCAAAGUUUAGCUGUUCCGCUCCAUAAUCCAUGAAGAUUUCAAAAUACAUCUAUCAGUAAAAAAUAGUACCUAUGCCUAUGUUAAUUCUCCUGAACUACCAUUGUAUAAUUCCACGUCUCCGCUCGCCAAACUGCUCGAUCAAAAUAGACAUAAACCACUUUACCACUCUGCGCCUAACAUAUGGACUUCAAAGUUAAGCUAUAAGGGUUAAAAUAUCUGGGGUUGGUGAUUGCAAAUCAGCUGCAUAUACCCACAUAUCUGGGGUUGAGAAAAUUGUAUGUUGAAGUCUAGUAGAUUUGAAGGGAAAAAAUAGAUGGAUAUAUAUUACCUGCAGAUUAUAGUAUUAGUAGUUUAGUACAAUGCCUAUCAAUGGUGAAUUACCGAAAGAUGCAUCCCUUGCAAUGUUUAUAUAAGUAGAACUCUGUCAAUAGAGUGCAGAUGCAGAAUUCCUCCACGAUUUCCAUCCACACCAUGGCAUAUCUUUUUGUAUAUGUAUGUAUAUGUGCCUGCAAUUGUAGUAUUCAUGAGAUCGUGCUAAUCAGUUAGCAUACUGCAUAAAUUAAUUACAGGAAAGACAGGGUAAUUCAAAAGAACAUGCCUGUAAAAUCACAGGAUAUUUUAAUCAAUUAGCUAAAUGCAUAACACAAUAAUGUGUACCCAUCUGCAAAAGAAAGUACAUGCCUGCUUGAAUGAUCAAGAGCAGUGGAGGACAAUUGUGAUCAUCUCCAACAUUGGUGUUUUCUUGAGCAGAAGAUUAUCCUGUUCCAAUCUAUUGUGAUACCAUGAAAAACAAGGGGAAAUUUUUAGUACAAAUCAUUCAGGCUUAAAUAAAGAUUGCUAAUUACUUAGAAAUAAAUUCAGCAAGCAGACCAUCAGUGGAUUAAUGCUGGGCUAGCUGUUUGUGAACAACCAAAUAUCACAUGUCCUAUUUUGACCCCUAAAGCACGAGAUAAUUUUUUUCCUUUUGUCCCCAGACUAUCAUGAAUGCAUCGAAUAGUAUGUUAGCAUUUCAGGCAGAAACCCAAAAAUUAGUUGGCACUAACACAUUGGCGUAAUACAUUCCAACCAUCGAUAACAAAAUUGCUUGACGAACAGGGUGGCGGACUGUUUCUGCAGCAUUCAAUAGAAAACAUCAUGUGCAUGUUCAAAAACAUACCUUGCUGGUAUAUCACAGCCAAAAUCAAAUUGGCCAGUUUGUUAAAAAAAAUCAAUCAGGCCAAAGAAAAAUAAUGAACUAGAAGGGAGAAGAGAUUGAAACUGGACAACGGAAGAAAAAACAAACCGUGCGGAGGAGACCGGUGGCGGCGCGAAGGUGGGCGACAGUGCGACAUGAGCCACCGAGGGCGACGACCUAACGCUGCUCCGGCGGCGGAUUUCGAGGUGGAGAUCAGGUGAGACGCGGAGGAACCGGCGAGUGGGGAGGGGAGCGCGCAACAGCGUGCAGCGCGUAUUCGUGGAGAGAGAGGAGGUUAGGGUUAGGGUUUGGAGAGAGUUCCUCCCGUGAGUGGGGAGAGGAGCGGCAUGCGGCGACGGCGACCUAACGGCGCACGAUGGGGAGUCCAGGAGAGAGGAGGGGGGCGAUGCGUGAGUUGGGGGUUGAAGAUGUGGUGGGGAGGGGUGAGGGCGUGAAG
Molecule: long non-coding RNA, 2840 nt
Filed under: Oryza sativa (Asian cultivated rice)
Lineage: Eukaryota; Viridiplantae; Streptophyta; Magnoliopsida; Poales; Poaceae
Description: long non-coding RNA (OSAT_LNC000715)
Source: RNAcentral